GAUGAACGCUGGCGGCGUGCUUAACACAUGCAAGUCGAACGGUGAAGGCGGAGCUUGCUCUGCUGGAUCAGUGGCGAACGGGUGAGUAACACGUGAGCAAUCUGCCCCUGACUCUGGGAUAAGCGCUGGAAACGGCGUCUAAUACUGGAUACGAGCUGCGAAGGCAUCUUCAGCAGCUGGAAAGAAUUUCGGUCAGGGAUGAGCUCGCGGCCUAUCAGCUUGUUGGUGAGGUAAUGGCUCACCAAGGCGUCGACGGGUAGCCGGCCCGAGAGGGUGACCGGCCACACUGGGACUGAGACACGGCCCAGACUCCUACGGGAGGCAGCAGUGGGGAAUAUUGCACAAUGGGCGAAAGCCUGAUGCAGCAACGCCGCGUGAGGGACGACGGCCUUCGGGUUGUAAACCUCUUUUAGCAGGGAAGAGGCGAAAGUGACGGUACCUGCAGAAAAAGCGCCGGCUAACUACGUG
RNAcentral lists this ribosomal RNA (468 nucleotides) under uncultured bacterium. Its description in RNAcentral is "partial 16S ribosomal RNA". It matches the Rfam family "Bacterial small subunit ribosomal RNA", at positions 28 to 507 of the family's 1533-position model. The record is from RNAcentral.